RNAcentral lists this ribosomal RNA (1343 nucleotides) under uncultured bacterium. Its description in RNAcentral is "16S ribosomal RNA". It matches the Rfam family "Bacterial small subunit ribosomal RNA", at positions 28 to 1378 of the family's 1533-position model. The record is from RNAcentral.
GACGAACGCUGGCGGCGUGCUUAACACAUGCAAGUCGAACGGAAAGGCCCUGCUUUUGUGGGGUGCUCGAGUGGCGAACGGGUGAGUAACACGUGAGUAACCUGCCCUUGACUUUGGGAUAACUUCAGGAAACUGGGGCUAAUACCGGAUAGGAGCUCCUGCUGCAUGGUGGGGGUUGGAAAGUUUCGGCGGUUGGGGAUGGACUCGCGGCUUAUCAGCUUGUUGGUGGGGUAGUGGCUUACCAAGGCUUUGACGGGUAGCCGGCCUGAGAGGGUGACCGGCCACAUUGGGACUGAGAUACGGCCCAGACUCCUACGGGAGGCAGCAGUGGGGAAUAUUGCACAAUGGGCGGAAGCCUGAUGCAGCAACGCCGCGUGCGGGAUGACGGCCUUCGGGUUGUAAACCGCUUUCGCCUGUGACGAAGCGUGAGUGACGGUAAUGGGUAAAGAAGCACCGGCUAACUACGUGCCAGCAGCCGCGGUGAUACGUAGGGUGCGAGCGUUGUCCGGAUUUAUUGGGCGUAAAGGGCUCGUAGGUGGUUGAUCGCGUCGGAAGUGUAAUCUUGGGGCUUAACCCUGAGCGUGCUUUCGAUACGGGUUGACUUGAGGAAGGUAGGGGAGAAUGGAAUUCCUGGUGGAGCGGUGGAAUGCGCAGAUAUCAGGAGGAACACCAGUGGCGAAGGCGGUUCUCUGGGCCUUUCCUGACGCUGAGGAGCGAAAGCGUGGGGAGCGAACAGGCUUAGAUACCCUGGUAGUCCACGCUGUAAACGGUGGGUACUAGGUGUGGGGUCCAUUCCACGGGUUCCGUGCCGUAGCUAACGCUUUAAGUACCCCGCCUGGGGAGUACGGCCGCAAGGCUAAAACUCAAAGGAAUUGACGGGGCCCCGCACAAGCGGCGGAGCAUGCGGAUUAAUUCGAUGCAACGCGUAGAACCUUACCUGGGUUUGACAUGGAUCGGGAGCGCUCAGAGAUGGGUGUGCCUCUUUUGGGGUCGGUUCACAGGUGGUGCAUGGCUGUCGUCAGCUCGUGUCGUGAGAUGUUGGGUUAAGUCCCGCAACGAGCGCAACCCUUGUUCACUGUUGCCAGCACGUUAUGGUGGGGACUCAGUGGAGACCGCCGGGGUCAACUCGGAGGAAGGUGGGGAUGACGUCAAGUCAUCAUGCCCCUUAUGUCCAGGGCUUCACGCAUGCUACAAUGGCUGGUACAGAGAGUGGCGAGCCUGUGAGGGUGAGCGAAUCUCGGAAAGCCGGUCUCAGUUCGGAUUGGGGUCUGCAACUCGACCUCAUGAAGUCGGAGUCGCUAGUAAUCGCAGAUCAGCAACGCUGCGGUGAAUACGUCCCCGGG